RNAcentral lists this ribosomal RNA (207 nucleotides) under uncultured bacterium. RNAcentral describes it as "partial 16S ribosomal RNA". It matches the Rfam family "Bacterial small subunit ribosomal RNA", at positions 568 to 774 of the family's 1533-position model. The record is from RNAcentral.
CGCGUAGGCGGGCCUUCAAGUCGGGUGUGAAAACUGCCAGCUUAACUGGCAGCCUGCACCCGAUACUGUCGGUCUUGAGUACAGGAGAGGUGAGUGGAACUGCGAGUGUAGAGGUGAAAUUCGUAGAUAUUCGCAAGAACACCAGUGGCGAAGGCGGCUCACUGGCCCGGUACUGACGCUGAGGUGCGAAAGCGUGGGGAGCAAACA